Molecule: transfer RNA, 76 nt
Filed under: Faecalicatena fissicatena
Lineage: Bacteria; Bacillati; Bacillota; Clostridia; Lachnospirales; Lachnospiraceae
Also listed under: 4 other names
Description: tRNA-Met
Rfam family: tRNA
About the family: Transfer RNA (tRNA) molecules are approximately 80 nucleotides in length. Their secondary structure includes four short double-helical elements and three loops (D, anti-codon, and T loops).
Source: RNAcentral
UGGAACAUAGCUCAGUCGGUGAGAGCAGCUGGUUCAUAACCAGUGUUUGUCGAAGGUUCGAGUCCUUCUGUUCCGA